This 125-nucleotide ribosomal RNA is filed under the name Tuber huidongense. Its description in RNAcentral is "partial 5.8S ribosomal RNA". It matches the Rfam family "5.8S ribosomal RNA", at positions 32 to 154 of the family's 154-position model. From Rfam's summary of the family: 5.8S ribosomal RNA (5.8S rRNA) is a component of the large subunit of the eukaryotic ribosome. It is transcribed by RNA polymerase I as part of the 45S precursor that also contains 18S and 28S rRNA. The record is from RNAcentral. Lineage: Eukaryota; Fungi; Ascomycota; Pezizomycetes; Pezizales; Tuberaceae.
AUUGAUGAAGAACGCAGCGAAAUGCGAUAAGUAAUGUGAAUUGCAGAAUUCAGUGAAUCAUCGAAUCUUUGAACGCACAUUGCGCCCCUUGGUAUUCCUUGGGGCAUGCCUGUUCGAGCGUCACU